GUUGUUUUUCUUAAGCUUGGUUGGUUUUGCAUUCUCUAUGCUACUUACCACUGUUUUUAUUAGUAUUAAUUUUGUCUCCUGGUUAAAGUGAUCAGUUUGAAUAACAAUUUAUGCCAGGUGAGGGAAAAUAAAUGAACUUUCGAAAAUGAGAGGUAACUCACUGCAAAAUUGGUUGGGCUGGUGAAUAAUUUGAUUUAUUUACAUGUGAAGUUGCAGACUUUAUGAUGCCUAAUGGUAUGAAGCCUCAGUGAUUUUCCAACUAUGUAUAUAGGCAGUCCCCUCAUUCAGAAUGGGUUAUGUUCUGAAAGUUCAUUUGUAAGUCACUUGCGUGGAACUCAGAAUGCAUUUUCUUCCAGCAACAAUAUUAUAAUGGUGAUUAAGACCCCAGGCUAACCUCUCCCAAUGUUUUUGCAACAUUGUUUUACAGUUUCACAAAAAUCCUGUAAAAAUUGUGGGUGUUUUCAUACUAAUAAUCAAAUAACACAGGAAAAUAACAAAAUUGAAAAGGAUGGUUUUUGAAAUAUUGGUGCUUGAGGAAAACAGGUUUAAUUAGAGGAGGACGAGGAUGUGGGUGGAGACUGUUGUGGAAAUUCUGAAGGAGACUCCUGGGUACACUCAAGGGCUCUUGCAGUGUAUGGCACUGGCUUGUGAUUGUGUCUAAUUUCACUUCACAAUUUGAGACUCUCCUUCGCUCUAUAUUACAGGUAUAUCAUGAAUGCUUAUGAACCAUAAUUGAUGUCAUUGUUUCUCUGUGUGUUCACAAAUGGAAGGAAUUGGGACAUGGAUGAAGCUGGAAGCCAUAAUGCUCAGCAAACUAACACAGGAACAGAAAACCAAACUCUGCAUCUUCUCACUCGUAAGUUGGAGUUGAACAACGAGAACACAUGGACACAGGGAGGGGAACAUCACACACCGAAGCCUGUCAGAGGGUGGGGGACUAGGGGAGGGAUAGCAUUAGGAGAAAUACCUAAUGUAGAUGACAGGUUGGUGGGUGCAGCAAACCAUCAUAGCACAUGUAUACUUAUGUAACAAACCUGCACAUUCUGCACAUGUAUCCCAGAACUUGAAGUAUGAUAAAAAAAAAUUAAUAAAUGGAAGAAUGUGAAGAGAAGGUAUUCUGAAGUGUUCCAUUAAUAGGACUCUUAAAGAUAAUCAAAAUUUAAAUGAGCAGAGAAAAAAUUGCAUGUUGUUUUUGACAUUUUAUCAAAUGGCCAGAGCAGACCUACCUUCUGUGUCAUUUUUCAAAAUAUACAGAAUAUCUAAAGAUGAAAUAAAAAAAUUUCUAAAGUAAAAAAAGAUGUAUAAGUUUGCAAUCACUUUUUUAAAAUUUGACGACAAUCUCAAAGAUAUUUGCAGAAAGAAACAAAAAGGCAGAGACAGAAAUUGUAGAAAGGGAGGUUUGAGAAUAUAGCCAUGCCGUUAACAACUAUUCAGGACUGGAGCCAGAGGAUAGAAGGCUGUAGGGGGAAGGUUUGUGGAAAAAGAAGGAGUCAAUAAAUUACAUGGUAUUAUUAAAAACUGGAAAAAACACAUGACUCAAAAAAAAGAAAAAUUUAAAUUUUAUUUUAUUGUGAUAAGGACACAAUCUUAUGUCUGGGCGCCACCAUGCCCAGAUAAUUUUUAAAAAUAAUUGUUGUAGAGACAAGGUCUUGCUAUGUUGCCCAGGCUAGUCUUGAAUUCCUGGCCUCAAGUGAUUCCUGCUCCUUGGUCUCCUAAAGUGCUGGGAUUAUAGGCAUGAACCACCCUGCCCAAUCUAGAAACAUUUUUUGAGCCAUCCAGAGUCAUGACAUUGGACCAAGAGGGAAAAAAAAAAUAUUCCCCGCCCACUAAUUGACUCAGCAGUGAAAAAUUUUUACUUAGACAUAAUAAUGUAAUUCUUUAUAUUGUUUUUCAACUUGUAAAUUCAAUGCCAGAGUUAGGAAGACUGCUUUUGCUUGUAGAACAAAUGUAAAUGUUAACAAUAAUAACGCGGAAAAAUUCAAGUGUAACAGACAGGAGGUAGGAUAUAUGAAAGCUGGCAGAAAGUAGAGGAAGAGGUAGAAGAGCUAACAUAUUUUAAAAAGUCGGGAACAAAGUGAUAUUAUUGAAAAUGACCAUCUCAGAUUUCAAACCAAGGCAAUAUAAGGUCAUGUUUCAAAAUAUCCUCUUGUAUUCAAGCAAUAUAGCAAUUCUUGACAACAUGAUCUUUUCACUCAAACCUCUCUGAGCAAAUCUGAUCUCCAUGAACUUCACAGUGGUAACAGUGAUGUAAUCAUCAAGUUGCUACAAUCACUUCUAUACCAAACUGUGGCAGGCAGGAUAAUGUACCUCCCCAAAAAAGAUGUCUGUUGUUUUAAAAUGCUAAGCUUGUGAUACUUUGUUAUAGCAGCAAUAGGGAACUAAUUCACAAGUCAAUUUACACAGC
Long non-coding RNA from Papio anubis (olive baboon), 2404 nucleotides. The record is from Ensembl. Lineage: Eukaryota; Metazoa; Chordata; Mammalia; Primates; Cercopithecidae.